Molecule: long non-coding RNA, 405 nt
Organism: Myotis brandtii (Brandt's bat)
Lineage: Eukaryota; Metazoa; Chordata; Mammalia; Chiroptera; Vespertilionidae
Exons: 3
Source: RefSeq, a predicted model, not a curated record
UAGUUUAAGUUUAAAAAAUUUGGCUCUCAAAAGAAAUUUCAAUCGUUGUACUGUUGAUAUUUGGAUCUGUUGACUAAUGAGGUUGCCAACCACUGUAAACUAUAAGGAAGGUGUCACUGGAGAAACAGACAAUUUGAAUUCAAUGCAACACACAUUUGCUAGAGAGAAACUGCAGGAAGUUCUGCACAGCGUCCGCCAACUCUUAAUUGUUUCUUUAAUAAUUAACACCUUUCGUACCGCUCACGAGCGUUCUCGUGUUUCGCGCGCCAUCUGUUAAGGACCGCUCACGAGUUUUCUCGUUUUUCACGCGCCAUCUGUUAUGGACCUUAGAUGUCAACACACUGUCUUGUCCACAUCGAAUGAAGCGAUCUCAUUGGUGGAAACCGUGCAGAUGCACAGUGUCAG